RNAcentral lists this ribosomal RNA (450 nucleotides) under uncultured bacterium. RNAcentral describes it as "bacterial SSU rRNA". It matches the Rfam family "Bacterial small subunit ribosomal RNA", at positions 8 to 458 of the family's 1533-position model. The record is from RNAcentral.
AGAGUUGGAUCCUGGCUCAGAUUGAACGCUGGCGGCAUGCUUUACACAUGCAAGUCGAACGGCAGCACGGGUGCUUGCACCUGGUGGCGAGUGGCGAACGGGUGAGUAAUGCACCGGAACGUACCCAGUAAUGGGGGAUAACACAUCGAAAGAUGUGCUAAUACCGCAUACGCCCUGAGGGGGAAAGCGGGGGAUCGUAAGACCUCGCGUUAUUGGAGCGGCCGAUGCCGGAUUAGCUAGUUGGUGAGGUAAGAGCUCACCAAGGCGACGAUCCGUAGCUGGUCUGAGAGGACGACCAGCCACACUGGGACUGAGACACGGCCCAGACUCCUACGGGAGGCAGCAGUGGGGAAUUUUGGACAAUGGGCGCAAGCCUGAUCUAGCCAUGCCGCGUGAGUGAAGAAGGCCUUCGGGUUGUAAAGCUCUUUCGCAAGGAAAGAAAACUUAUCU